Molecule: ribosomal RNA, 253 nt
Filed under: uncultured bacterium
Lineage: Bacteria
Description: partial 16S ribosomal RNA
Rfam family: Bacterial small subunit ribosomal RNA
Source: RNAcentral
UACGAAGGUGGCAAGCGUUACUCGGAAUUACUAGGCGUAAAGGGCAGGUAGGUGGCCUGAUAAGUCUGUUGUGAAAGCUCCUGGCUUAACUGGGAGAGGUCAACAGAUACUGUCGGGCUUGAGUGUGGGAGAGGGUACUGGAAUUCCCGGUGUAGCGGUGAAAUGCGCAGAGAUCGGGAGGAACACCAAUGGCGAAAGCAGGUACCUGGACCAUUACUGACACUCAGCUGCGAAAGCUAGGGGAGCAAACAGG